This 472-nucleotide ribosomal RNA is filed under the name uncultured bacterium. RNAcentral describes it as "partial 16S ribosomal RNA". It matches the Rfam family "Bacterial small subunit ribosomal RNA", at positions 30 to 507 of the family's 1533-position model. The record is from RNAcentral.
AGUGAACGCUGGCGGUAGGCCUAACACAUGCAAGUCGAACGGCAGCACAGUAAGAGCUUGCUCUUACGGGUGGCGAGUGGCGGACGGGUGAGGAAUACAUCGGAAUCUACUUUUUCGUGGGGGAUAACGUAGGGAAACUUACGCUCAUACCGCAUACGACCUACGGGUGAAAGCAGGGGAUCUUCGGACCUUGCGCGAUUGAAUGGGCCGAUGUCGGAUUAGCUAGUUGGCGGGGUGAAGGCCCACCAAGGCGACGAUCGGUAGCUGGUCUGCGAGGAUGACCGGACACACUGGGACUGAGGCACGGAACAGACUCCGACGGGAGGCAGGAGUGGGGAAUUGUGCACAAUGGGCGGAAGCCUGAUGCAGAGACGCGGCGUGAGGGAUGACGGCCUUCGGGUUGUAAACGUAUUGCAGCAGGGACGAAGCGUAAGUGACGGUACCUGAAGAAGAAGCGCCGGCCAACUAAGUG